UGGGGAAUUUUGGACAAUGGGCGCAAGCCUGAUCCAGCCAUGCCGCGUGUCUGAAGAAGGCCUUCGGGUUGUAAAGGACUUUUGUCAGGGAAGAAAAGGCUGUUGCUAAUAUCGACAGCUGAUGACGGUACCUGAAGAAUAAGCACCGGCUAACUACGUGCCAGCAGCCGCGGUAAUACGUAGGGUGCGAGCGUUAAUCGGAAUUACUGGGCGUAAAGCGAGCGCAGACGGUUACUUAAGCAGGAUGUGAAAUCCCCGGGCUCAACCUGGGAACUGCGUUCUGAACUGGGUGACUAGAGUGUGUCAGAGGGAGGUAGAAUUCCACGUGUAGCAGUGAAAUGCGUAGAGAUGUGGAGGAAUACCGAUGGCGAAGGCAGCCUCCUGGGAUAACACUGACGUUCAUGCUCGAAAGCGUGGGUAGCAAACAGGAUUAGAUACCCUGGUAGUCCACGCCCUAAACGAUGUCAAUUAGCUGUUGGGCAACUUGAUUGCUUANNAGCGUAGCUNACGCGUGAAAUUGACCGCCUGGGGAGUACGGUCGCAAGAU
RNAcentral lists this ribosomal RNA (547 nucleotides) under uncultured bacterium. RNAcentral describes it as "bacterial SSU rRNA". It matches the Rfam family "Bacterial small subunit ribosomal RNA", at positions 355 to 894 of the family's 1533-position model. The record is from RNAcentral.